GACGGGGGGGGCAAGUGUUCUUCGGAAUGACUGGGCGUAAAGAGCGUGUAGGCGGCCAAGCAGGUCCGUUGUGAAAACUGGAGGCUUAACCUCCAGACGUCGACGGAAACCGCGCGGCUAGAGUCCGGAAGAGGAGAGUGGAAUUCCUGGUGUAGCGGUGAAAUGCGCAGAUAUCAGGAAGAACACCAAUGGCGAAGGCAGCUCUCUGGGACGGUACUGACGCUGAGACGCGAAAGCGUGGGGAGCGAACAGG
RNAcentral lists this ribosomal RNA (253 nucleotides) under uncultured bacterium. RNAcentral describes it as "partial 16S ribosomal RNA". It matches the Rfam family "Bacterial small subunit ribosomal RNA", at positions 524 to 776 of the family's 1533-position model. The record is from RNAcentral.